RNAcentral lists this ribosomal RNA (253 nucleotides) under uncultured bacterium. RNAcentral describes it as "partial 16S ribosomal RNA". It matches the Rfam family "Bacterial small subunit ribosomal RNA", at positions 524 to 776 of the family's 1533-position model. The record is from RNAcentral.
UACGUAGGGGGCAAGCGUUGUCCGGAUUUAUUGGGCGUAAAGAGCGUGUAGGCGGCUUUACAGGUCCGUUGUGAAAACUCGAGGCUCAACCUCGAGACGCCGGUGGAAACCGUAAAGCUAGAGUCCGGAAGAGGAGAGUGGAAUUCCCGGUGUAGCGGUGAAAUGCGCAGAUAUCGGGAAGAACACCCGUGGCGAAGGCGGCUCUCUGGGACGGUACUGACGCUGAGGUGCGAAAGCGUGGGGAGCAAACAGG